AUGGAGUACAACCCAGAGUUUUUGUGUUGGAAUGUGCGCGGGUUGAAUAACCCUACGAAGAGGAAGGCGGUUAGGGAGUUCAUCGCCUCGAUCAAGGUUAAUGUGGUGUGUCUUCAAGAGACAAAACUUGAUGUAAUAGAUCAGUUUGACAUCAUGCAAUGCAUUGGGCCAUCAUUUGAUGGUUUUGCUUACUUGCCGGCUUCGGAGACGCGUGGAGGCAUUCUUUUGGCCUGGGACUCCACGGUGGUGAAUGUAGAUUGUGUGGCUCUUGAUACUUUCUGUAUACAGGCCGGGUGA
RNAcentral lists this ribosomal RNA (297 nucleotides) under Triticum aestivum (bread wheat). Its description in RNAcentral is "partial small subunit ribosomal RNA". The record is from RNAcentral. Lineage: Eukaryota; Viridiplantae; Streptophyta; Magnoliopsida; Poales; Poaceae.